RNAcentral lists this transfer RNA (74 nucleotides) under Lentzea sp. NBRC 102530. RNAcentral's name for it is "tRNA-Leu". It matches the Rfam family "tRNA". From Rfam's summary of the family: Transfer RNA (tRNA) molecules are approximately 80 nucleotides in length. Their secondary structure includes four short double-helical elements and three loops (D, anti-codon, and T loops). Lineage: Bacteria; Bacillati; Actinomycetota; Actinomycetes; Pseudonocardiales; Pseudonocardiaceae. The record is from RNAcentral.
GCCCGUCUACGCCAACGCAGAGCGGCUGGAUUCAAGAUCCAGUGGAUGGCGGUUCAAAUCCGUCGAUGGGUACC